This 206-nucleotide unclassified non-coding RNA is filed under the name uncultured fungus. RNAcentral describes it as "sequence contains ITS1". The record is from RNAcentral. Lineage: Eukaryota; Fungi.
GUAUAUAAUAAUAAAAAGAUGCGACGUUCUAGUACAUGUGUGUUUUAUGAAAAAAGACGUGAGCCCCGAACCAACGGGACCCAACGCAGAGGUGCACAGGGGUGAGAGAGAGAGAGAACGAGGCGUGCACGUUGCCCCCUCGGGGACCAGCUACAACCUCGCCUUGCAUUUCAUUAAUGAUCCUUCCGCAGGUUCACCUACGGAAA